GCCUCGCAGCAGGGAAGAGGCAGAGCAGCUCCUAAUGAGGCUCUGGGAGCACUCUGAGCCUCUUGGCUCGUGAGCAGAGAGCCGCAGGUGGGAGCCCCAGCCCUGUGGACCGUGGCAGCAUCGGCGCUAAAGCGCAGCCAAGCUUCCAGAAGCUUCUCUCCAAGAAUGCUGCUGCUUAUCUCUGUGUGUUCCUGGCACAGAGCAGCUUGGACCCACAGAUACCCAUCUGGCCGUGAGCUGAGAUGUUGGGACAGAGAUGGAGCAGCAGAUUCCCUUCCUUUGCUCCCGUUUGCAGAUGGUGGCACCCUGGGAGCAUCAGAGCGCUUCUGCAAGGCUCGCCCAAAAUCUCUCACCCAAAAUCUGCAGAGAUGCCCUGCAAGAUUUGCAUCAGGCCAAGAAGAGCCAUGUUGGCCAUAGAACAUACAGUCUGCGGAUGGAAAACAAAAGGAAGAGUUGAAAACCUGCUGUGACAAUGCUGGAAUGUCCCCAGAUGUGAAGCACUGUGCUCCUCCUGCGAGGCCACAGCUCUGCGUCCGCACUGGGGACACAUGGCUUUAUCCUGCUGCCUCUGCAAUGGGCAGCGACCAUCCUGCUGCACCCAGCUCUGCCCCAGGCAGAGUUCCUCCCUUGCUCUCCCACCCGAGCUGUGCCCUGCUCCUUCCCCACGUGCCCUGACCCCCAGGUCUCACUUUUCAGGGGCUUUGGGUUUUUUUCUCCUUUGUGUUGGAGCUGCCCAGGAACCACACGGUUGCUGUAGGGACCUGCUGGUGCUGCUCAGCCCUCCUUUCCUGUACUGUUUGCACAAGAAAGGAACGGACAGAGUGGAGCAUCUGCAUGGUUUUUAUUUGGUUUGAGUUUGUUUUCUUUCUGUUGGUGGGAAGCAGAGGACGAACACUGCAGAUUCAACAUUUUCUCCUCGUUUUGAUGCCCAACAUUUUGGCUGCGGUGCCAUGUGCCCUGCAGAUCCAAGGCUCCUGGUUGCAGCCCGGUGGGGGAACCCCGCUCUGAACUGGGAAGCUGUGGCGCUGCUGAAGGCGUACAAAACAGGGAGAACCUCCCCAGGGUGCAGCUCUGCGAGAUCCCAAAUGCUCAGGGCUUGUAUUGUGGAUGCUGUCCACCACGCUUUCUCUUCUUGCAAUUAUUCAGUAUUGGGGACAGUGGGGGGAAAAUUUGCAUUUCUUUGUCUGUUUUUUGCAAUAUAUGUAUGUAUGUAUGUAUAUGUAUUUUAAGUGUCUUUGCUUGUUAUAAAUUUCUCUGCGGUGAGCAGACAGGACAGAGGGCUGUGAGCUCAAUGCAAGGUGUCACUGGAGAAGUUUCCAGUCACUCUUUGUGUUGAUCACAGGUAAACACAUGUGUGCACAGUGUCUCAGAUGCGUUGUCUGAUUGCCGUGCUCACAUGCACCCCAUUUUCCACUGCCAUUGUGAUGCCGAAAAACCACUUUGAGCAGAGGAAUGCUUUCAAUGCAAGCCCUGCUGCAGGCCGUGUGCUGCCAAUGUCCUUG
Molecule: long non-coding RNA, 1502 nt
Organism: Centrocercus urophasianus (Greater sage-grouse)
Lineage: Eukaryota; Metazoa; Chordata; Aves; Galliformes; Phasianidae
Exons: 3
Source: RefSeq, a predicted model, not a curated record